This 481-nucleotide ribosomal RNA is filed under the name uncultured bacterium. Its description in RNAcentral is "partial 16S ribosomal RNA". It matches the Rfam family "Bacterial small subunit ribosomal RNA", at positions 29 to 507 of the family's 1533-position model. The record is from RNAcentral.
AUUGAACGCUGGCGGCAUGCCUUACACAUGCCAGUCGAACGGUAACGGGCCUUCGGGUGCCGACGAGUGGCGAACGGGUGAGUAAUACAUCGGAACGUGCCCGAUCGUGGGGGAUAACGAGGCGAAAGCUUUGCUAAUACCGCAUACGAUCUACGGAUGAAAGCAGGGGACCGCAAGGCCUUGCGCGGACGGAGCGGCCGAUGGCAGAUUAGGUAGUUGGUGGGAUAAAAGCUUACCAAGCCGACGAUCUGUAGCUGGUCUGAGAGGAUGAUCAGCCACACGGGAAUGAGAAAAGGGCCCAACCUCCUACGGAGGGCAGCGGGGGGAAAUUUGGGACAAGGGGCGAAACCUUGUCCCGCCCAGCCGGCGGCAAGGAGGAGGGCCUCGGGUUGUAAACUGCUUUUGUACGGAACGAAAAGCCUUCUUUUAAUACAGGAGGGUCAUGACGGUACCGUAAGAAUAAGCACCGGCUAACUACGUG